UUUGGUGGCGAUAGCGAAGAGGUCACACCCGUUCCCAUGCCGAACACUGAAAUUAAGCUCUUCAGCGCCGAUGGUAGUUGGGGGCUU
This 87-nucleotide ribosomal RNA is filed under the name Bacillus spizizenii. Lineage: Bacteria; Bacillati; Bacillota; Bacilli; Caryophanales; Bacillaceae. The record is from RNAcentral.